CCUACGGGAGGCUGCAGUGAAGAAUAUUGGUCAAUGGGCGGAAGCCUGAACCAGCCAAGUAGCGUGCAGGAUGACAGCCCUACGGGUUGUAAACUGCUUUUAUACGGGAAUAACGCGCCUUGCGUGUAGGGCUUUGCAUGUACCGUAUGAAUAAGGACCGGCUAAUUCCGUGCCAGCAGCCGCGGUAAUACGGAAGGGGCGGGCGUUGUCCGGAUUUGUUGGGGUUAAAGGGAGCGUAGGCCGCAUGUCAAGCGUGCUGUGAAAUGUCCGGGCUCAACCCGGGCCUUGCAGCGCGAACUGGCGGGCUUGAGUCCGCGGAAAGCAGGCGGAAUUCGUGGUGUAGCGGUGAAAUGCGUAGAUAUGAGGAAGAACCCUGAUGGCGAAGGCAGCUUGCUGGAGCGGAACUGACGCUGAGGCUCGAAAGCGCGGGUAUCGAACAGGAUUAGAUACCCGAGUAGUC
This 460-nucleotide ribosomal RNA is filed under the name uncultured bacterium. Its description in RNAcentral is "partial 16S ribosomal RNA". It matches the Rfam family "Bacterial small subunit ribosomal RNA", at positions 338 to 795 of the family's 1533-position model. The record is from RNAcentral.